UGGGGUGUACAGACUCCAGAGGGGCUCCUUCAGCCCAAGAGCUAUACUAAUCCAAUCAUGGCAUAAAUCAUAAUAACAUUCUGCGGCGUGCAGCCCGCUCCCUUAAAUAUCACUCACAAACAAACCCUCAGCCUCACUCAAUCAUCAAUCUCUCUAGUCUCUCAGGCUCACAAUGUCAUAAAAAUCAGCUUAAAAAUGAUGAUGUGAUGUAUCGAUAAAUGGUGACCGAGACUGGGAUAUGGUAUGUAGAUGAAUGCGUAUGACUGAGUAUGUAAUUUCAAUAUAAACAGAUAACUCAACAACAGAAAUGACUCCAGUGGGUCCCAAUAGGAUAAGCAUAUAGCCUAGACAUGAUUUCUAACGUCACUAUAAGAAAAAAGACCAUUAACGAAGAGAAAUCUGGUCCUUAAAAGUAUGUUUCUGGUCUUUAAAUGUCAAUAGCGACCGGAGAAAUCUGGCCGCGACCCGUCGUUAUUUCCUCCACCGCUAAAGGUCAAUAAGGACAAGGUUCAUCCACUGGUCCCUACAUGUUUUAAUGGCCGGCGACCUUCUGCUCUCUAGAAACACAUUCUAGAGACCAUAUUUCUGGUCCGUAAACAGCUUAAACACAAGGUAUCAGUUGGUCCCUAAAUGUCAAUAGGGACCAAAAUUAUGGUCCUAAAAGUGAUAUACAUAACACAAUAAAUAUAUGAUUGUUUUGGUCAUCUUAUAUUAAAUAUUAUAAAAUUUAUAAUACAGAAAAUCAAUCGAAUAUUAACAAAAUUCAGUAAAUAUCAGAAUUUCAUACAUAUAAUUAAUUACAAGUAUUGUAUUAAUAUCUCAUUAGUAUCAUUGUACAAACAUGGUAUCAGUCACUAUAUUGCUUACGCAACCCCUUGAGAAAAAAAAGAAAAAUUAACAUCCGUAGUAAAAAAAAAAAAUAAAGCGUUGCUUAGCAAAAACUAAAUCCUUCGAAAAUAAGGUAACCUUUUGCCUAACAGUCCUACCAAAAUGACAAUCAACUUGUUAACUUGUAUGAAGUCUUCAACCAAGCAUCUUCACUUGUAUGUGAGUCUUCAAAAGCUGUAAAAAUUAAUAAAAAAUAUCCAAUAAGGAAAACUUCAAAGAUCAACUAUAAAAGUUAAUUAAAUAAUGAGGGGAUCAUUGUUGCUACACUGAACAGCAUGUUCUGAAGCCAACAACAAUAUAGCAAAGCUUAGUUAAUAAGAAACUAGAAAAGUAAAAGAAGAAAAGUAAAUAACCAUGCUCAAAAAAGAAGAAACUAGUAGAAAAAGUGAGGAAAUGAGAUUUAGUUCAGCAAUGACAACGAGGCAAUGAAUCUCAAAAAAUUCAAAUGAUCUCAAGAGCGGGCAUCUUGUGGAAAACAAAUUGCUGUGUCCCUCACAAAUCUUUGCUUUUUAUACUCCUAAUGUAAGAAGCUAUACGUAAUGAAUAGAAACAGAGAAAAACAAAUGCCAGCAGCCCAUUGAAGUCGCCAUUUUCCUUCUCUUAAAAACGUAAAUAUAACCAUAAACAAUAUAAUUUUACACCUGAAUCAAGAAAACAACUGCAAAGCCAUGAGAAAGAACCUGUUAUGGAGUGUGGAGGACCACCAGAUUUUCCUGAAAAAUCUAAUCCUCCAUCUUGUUUUCGUAAAUUCAUAAUUUUUGUAAUAGCUAAAUCUAGUUUUGAAUAGGACAUCAAUCUCAUUACGCCGCAGUCACCAUUCAAAUCACUGAACCAACAAAAUGCAAAAACUGCUAAGGUUCUCAAUCCUCUGCCACACAAAGAUAUGUAUCAUUUUUAUUUUCUUUUUGAGGAUGAAUUAAGUACAUGAAUAUCUUUUGAGAGAGAUUCAUUCUGCCUAGCCAAGCCAUAGCUAGAAGGAGCCACAAGCAGAUGAACUAAUUUCAUAAAGCAGCCUUGUAUCACUCAAACAAACAUAGAGUUUUGAAAGGGUUACCGGAUACAGUUUACCUCCUAAACGCUUUGAAUCUUAACUCAUUAUAAGUUCACAAAAAAGGUGGAACCCAAACAUUAAAAAAAACUUCUAAAGACCACAGCUGAAGAACCAGAUCUGGAAAAGUAAGGAAAACCCUAGCUUCUAUUCGUCGACCCAAUAUUGGAAGCAAACGAUGACAAUUAAACUAAAAACCUAUUUCGAAUCAAAUUGAAAAUACUUUAAAGAGAUCCUAAGCCACAAAAUGGAGAAUUUCACAAAAUAACUAAGAACCACUUGAAGCUUCAGUGCAAAAUAAACAAAAAAAGAAAAAUAAGUAGAUUGAAAGAUGAUAAAGAACAAAACCUGAGAUUUAAGGUUGAGAGAAAAUUUCAUAGGGAAAUAGUCAUUCUUUUGGAGUUGAAUUUGAGAGAUUGAGGAGUCACGAGGGUUUUGACCCUUUAGGGAUUUCAAAGAGACGAGAGGAGUUUCCGUCAAAGUGUUUUCACGAUUUUUUCAUUUUUCUAGAUGCAUAAUUAAGUGACUUUUUUUUCUCGAAUAAAGUAUAGGGACCAGAAUUUUAUAUUUUUAUGGACCAAAAUUGUUUUCGUCGUUAAAUA
RNAcentral lists this long non-coding RNA (2538 nucleotides) under Nicotiana tabacum (common tobacco). RNAcentral describes it as "long non-coding RNA (NTAB_LNC012964)". Lineage: Eukaryota; Viridiplantae; Streptophyta; Magnoliopsida; Solanales; Solanaceae. The record is from RNAcentral.